Molecule: ribosomal RNA, 772 nt
Filed under: Vreelandella aquamarina
Lineage: Bacteria; Pseudomonadati; Pseudomonadota; Gammaproteobacteria; Oceanospirillales; Halomonadaceae
Description: partial 23S ribosomal RNA
Rfam family: Bacterial large subunit ribosomal RNA
Source: RNAcentral
GAAACCCGGACGCCAGUUCGGGUGGAGCCAACCUUGAAAUACCAGCCUGGCAUCAUUGGCGUUCUCACUCAGGUCCGUGAUCCGGAUCGAGGACAGUGUGUGGUGGGUAGUUUGACUGGGGCGGUCUCCUCCCAAAGAGUAACGGAGGAGCACGAAGGUACCCUCAGCACGGUCGGACAUCGUGCAAUGAGUGCAAGAGCAUAAGGGUGCUUGACUGCGAGACAGACACGUCGAGCAGGUGCGAAAGCAGGUUCUAGUGAUCCGGUGGUUCUGUAUGGAAGGGCCAUCGCUCAACGGAUAAAAGGUACUCCGGGGAUAACAGGCUGAUACCGCCCAAGAGUUCACAUCGACGGCGGUGUUUGGCACCUCGAUGUCGGCUCAUCACAUCCUGGGGCUGAAGUCGGUCCCAAGGGUAUGGCUGUUCGCCAUUUAAAGUGGUACGCGAGCUGGGUUUAGAACGUCGUGAGACAGUUCGGUCCCUAUCUGCCGUGGGCGUUGGAUGUUUGAGAAGAGCUGCUCCUAGUACGAGAGGACCGGAGUGGACGACCCUCUGGUGUUCCGGUUGUCACGCCAGUGGCAUUGCCGGGUAGCUAUGGUCGGACGGGAUAACCGCUGAAAGCAUCUAAGCGGGAAGCCCCCUUCAAGAUGAGACAUCCCUGAGACCUCGAGUCUCCUAAAGGGCCCAGCGAGACCAGCUGGUUGAUAGGCACGGUGUGGAAGCGCUGCAAGGCGUUGAGCUAACGUGUACUAAUGGCCCGUGAGGCUUGACCCU